AUCUGAUGUUGCGGGUAUCUCAUGCACAAUUUGUUGAAUCUCUCCCAAUACUCAUAUAAGGUCUCUCCCGGCUGCUGCUUUAAACCACAUAUUUCCUUUUUCAAACU
This is a small nucleolar RNA of Coffea eugenioides, 107 nucleotides long. The record is from RefSeq and is a predicted model, not a curated record. NCBI's taxonomy places the organism in Eukaryota, Viridiplantae, Streptophyta, Magnoliopsida, Gentianales, Rubiaceae.